RNAcentral lists this long non-coding RNA (3988 nucleotides) under Sus scrofa (pig). Its description in RNAcentral is "lncRNA (ENSSSCG00005015660.1)". The record is from RNAcentral. Lineage: Eukaryota; Metazoa; Chordata; Mammalia; Artiodactyla; Suidae.
ACCACAAAGCCUAAAGGAGCCUAGAACUGUUAGAAAAUUAUACAUUCAUUGAAAGAGUUCAUUUCAAUAAAGAGGCCUCGAAGAAAAUCACUCUUCUCCUGCAAACACACACCACCUGCGGGGAGAGGAGGCCGGUUGUAAGUGAUGGAAGGGGCACACUACUACUGGAUUUUAUGGAGGUGGGAGAAAACGAUCAAAGGGAGUCCUUUCACCUUCCCUGUUUUAUAAAUGGCAAACCUUUCCUAAACAAGCUGUCCAUCCAACCGCCAAAACCACAGGACAAGAAUUUCUACUCAAGGGGGAAACAGCAAGAAAGAAAAAAAGGUCACCAUUCCUAGAGCAGAGUUGCUUCUGGGAAGCAAUUGCCUGGCCAGAGACUACAUUUCCCAGCCUCCCUUGCACGGAUGUGGGACUAUGGACUAGCUCUUAUCAGUGAAACAAGAGCAGAGCUGAAGAGGUGCUCGUGCAGGAUGCUGUAUUCCAGGGACCAUGACACCUCACCUUCCGGCUCCUGCAUCCUUCCUGCAGUAUCUAAGGGGACAGUGAGUUUAGAUGCCACUGAUACAAUCCCAACAUCACAGAAUGGAAGGAGUUUGGGUUCCAGAGUAACCAGCCUCGCAGGAGAGCUGCCAGACUUGGCUUGGACAGCGACACGAGGGAGAAACAAACGUAUAUGUGAGAUCGCUGAGGUCAUGUUACCGCGACUGAAGUAAGAUAAGGUGGUGUCCGGAGUAUGGGGUCUGGAGCUUGACUACCUGGAUUCAAAUCCCUGCUCAGUCAUCUCUUGGCUGUGUGACUUAAGGUAAGUUACUCACCCUCUCUGUGCCUCAAUGUCUUCAUCUGGUGGAUGGAGCUCACAGACUCUAGUCUGUCAUAGGGUAGCUGUGAAGAUUAGACGAGUCGAUGCAUGUAGAGAGCUUCUAACAGUGCUUGACCUUGAGCAGCCAUUCAGUACAUUAUACAUUAGCAAGGUGGGAUAAGGAAAUGGGGGUUUGGGAAGGUGAAUGGCUGACUCCAAAGCACUUACGUUGGGAUCCACAGUGGAAACUCUUCUAAUCUUUUAUCAACAACCAGAUGAGAAGAUACAUCUGCUUCUGCUUCUAAGAGUUGGUGAUUCUCAUCCUUCUCUCUGCACUUGCCCUUGCCGUGUCCUUGGUCAGCACAGAGGAAGGACAACAGCCCAUCUCCCUCACAUCGGAAGUGGCUCCACAAGUUGGCCUUCACUGCCAUCAACCCUAACAGGUGUGGUGCUCUAUCUCCACAGUCCUCCAGAGCGCCCUCAAGUCCCUCAGGGUGUCUUUACUCCAAGAAGGGGUUCUAGACUAGACAAGCAGAGGUGUUGCAGAAAGGAAGAUACUGCAAAGGAUUCAGGCAGCAAAGGGUGUGCUCCCCACACUGGGGAAGACAUCUGGGCAGAAGGGCCUGGGCUGGACCUCACAUCCAUCCCUCUUCCCUUGGGGUCCUUGACCACCCUUGAGAAUGGCACCUACAUGCUCUAAUUCUCCAUAAAAUCCAGAGGCAAAAUGUCCCUGCUGUAAAGACCUUGAACCCUUUUUGGGAAGGUUUUAUGAACUUAAUAUCAUGGGUUGCUCUAACCCCAGCCUUUGUCCUGACAGCAUCUGCUCAGGGAGUUUGAGAUUCAGCCAGUCUGUAAAGAGCUUCAGAUCCAGGGCUUUGAGGUGGGGAGAAGUGGUCACCUUGGAGAAAGCAGGAAACUGUGGCCAGCUGGGGCAUUCUUUGCUAUAGAUUCCAAGAGACAAACUUGCUGAUCCCAGGUCAAGUCUGCCCCUGCUUCCCUGCAUCUAGAACCAUCUCUGGCUCCACCUCCCAUUAACACCCCAGAACAGAUUCCCUACCCACCUCCUCAAGAAGAACAUUGCCUCUGGGGAUUUUCUAAGAGUUUUUAGGAUAAGCAGCAGUUAGAAGCUAACAAUAAGUAAAAUUUCCAGAAAUCAAGAGAAACUUGCAAUGUUCCUUGACACUUUAAAUGAUGCACUUGAAACAAGAGGCUUACAUUAGGAUCUAAAUUAGAGUUCUUGAGUGGCUUUUUGUAUUUUUUCUUUCACGUUAACCUGACUACAACUUUAUCUUCUCCAUUCACUUCCAAGAAGUCCUUAUAUAAUAAAGAGUUGAAGGCUGAAGCCCUUGCUUCCUCAAUAGGGGGCAGGCUCACCAGCUCCAUCUUGUCAGUUACCUCUUAAUGGUUGGUAGGAUGAGGGAAGCUUUCUCAAAGGACAGUUAAAAUAGUGCUUUAAGAAAUCCUCAGCCAAUAAAUAGUUGCUUCCAGAGUUAUAAAGUCAGUUUUCUUAACCUCUCAAUCUCAACUCAACUCAAAUUACAAAGUUUACAUGCCUUUGGGGAUGGCUGUAUUAAGUAAAUAGAGAGGAAUGGUCACAUUCAGUGUAAGCUAAAACACCCAAGGCUGGCAGUAGGAAAAGGAGCUACCUACCUAUCAGGUCUUUCAUAAAGCCAGUCCCUUAAGUAGAAAGAAUAAAGUUCUCUCAAGACUUACCCUAUGGACUGCCUUUCACAGCUGGUUCAUAUUUAUAAGCCAAUUUGUCUGGAAGUAAAUCUCUUUAACACACCCAACUGACUCCAAGAGGUGUGUCCCAUGGGAACCAAUCUUAAAUAACUGUCUCAAGAAAAGUUUUAGCAGCAAUAUUGUCAGUCCUGGAAUUUCCACCUUUGGGGGGAAAAAAAAUCAACAAUAGAAUGCUUGGAAAUACAGAAUACACAGAGUUUAGCAAACUGCCAAAUUAAAUUCAGACACACACACACAAAUCUGCUAAUACCUGGUUAAAGAGUUGGCAUGGGAAGAAACAGACUUCUCAUUCAAGCCUGAAGCUCGGUAAUGGGUCAUUUGACCUGAAAUAACUUGGGCGGAAGUUGGCCUUAUUGUCUUCCACAAUCUCUUCCCACACAGUCAAAAAAGGGGAUGCAAUCUUAAGAUUUUUUCUUCCUCAUUCUCUCCCGCCCUUUCUCCUCUCCCUCCCUCCCUUUUAUUUUCUCUCUCUCCUUUCUUCCUUCUUUUCUUUCUCUUUCAAUCUUUGGGCAUCAAAAAGGGUAUCCCAGAAAACUUCAAAUGAAGUUUUAGAAGAGGACCGUGUGUUGGUUUCAGUUGUUUUUAGGGUGGGGGCUUGAACAACCUCAUCUCAAAAAUGGAGAUUUUUUUUAUUACCUCUUUUGGUUGAGAUAUAAUUAAUAUAUAAUAAAGCUAUCUAAUUUACUGAAUUGGUCUGAUUCACAAGUUAAAUAAGGUUAAAUCAAAGAAAACAUGUAUAAGUCCCUCUAGACAGUGUCCAGGGUUGACUGGAUUAUAAACAGACAUAACCACUGAGGUCACUUUUUAAUUUAAAAACCCUCAAUGGCUCCUGACUUCCUACAGAACAGUCUAAAAAUCUAAGGCUCAAAAAUGUCAGGCUCUCCUUUCUAGUGCUACCUGCUGCCCCCAUCUCUUAUACAUACCAUUUGUCAGAUGCAACCAGAUAAUAGAAAUUUCCAGUCUCUCAGCUUCCUCCUGCUGCCCCAGGUCUGCUUAUCAAGGCCCUGCCCAUCCUUCAAAGUCAGAAGUCAUCUCCUCCAUGGAGUCCUCCAGGUCAGUCCUGCUGGUAUUCAUUUCCUUGCCUAUGGCCUAUCUCAUUACAUUGUUAUUGCUGCUAAGGUAUUUGACACAUUCUGUUUCAUAUUAACUACUUCCUGUGACGAGCACCCUUCUUUCGUGUAAUUUUGAUAAACAUUCAUUGAGCAUCUAUAAUAUGUGGGCAGAGAGCCAGGCAUGGGGAGGAGCUCGGCAGAGGUACAGAGAUGAGUGAUGUGGUGUUUACUCUGGAAGAGCUCAGGGCCUGGUGGGGAGCCUUGAGGUGGCAAGUCCCACCAUGCACGAUCCAUCUCCAGCAGUGUCUACGGUUUCCAUGCACACCAGAUAUAGAUGCUAAUACAAAUGAAGCCGUGCUAAAGGUAAAAAAAAAAGAAAAAAAAAAAAAAAAAA